This 484-nucleotide ribosomal RNA is filed under the name uncultured bacterium. RNAcentral describes it as "partial 16S ribosomal RNA". It matches the Rfam family "Bacterial small subunit ribosomal RNA", at positions 30 to 507 of the family's 1533-position model. The record is from RNAcentral.
AUUGAACGCUGGCGGAAUGCUUUACACAUGCAUGUCGAACGGCAGCACGGGGGCAACCCUGGUGGCGAGUGGCGAACGGGUGAGUAAUACAUCGGAACGUGCCCGGUCGUGGGGGAUAACGUAGCGAAAGUUACGCUAAUACCGCAUACGAUCUGAGGAUGAAAGCGGGGGACCUUCGGGCCUCGCGCGAUCGGAGCGGCCGAUGUCAGAUUAGGUAGUUGGUGGGGUAAAGGCCUACCAAGCCGACGAUCUGUAGCUGGUCUGAGAGGACGACCAGCCACACUGGGACUGAGACACGGCCCAGACUCCUACGGGAGGCAGCAGUGGGGAAUUUUGGACAAAGGGCGCAAGCCUGAUCCAGCCAUUCCGCGUGCAGGACGAAGGCCUUCGGGUUGUAAACUGCUUUUGUAUGGAACGAAAAGGCUCUGGCUAAUACCUGGGGCUCAUGACGGUACCGUAAGAAUAAGCACCGGCUAACUACGCG